Molecule: ribosomal RNA, 516 nt
Filed under: Coniochaeta sp. CL112
Lineage: Eukaryota; Fungi; Ascomycota; Sordariomycetes; Coniochaetales; Coniochaetaceae
Description: eukaryotic LSU rRNA
Rfam family: 5.8S ribosomal RNA (bases 184-337)
Source: RNAcentral
GAUCAUUACAAGAAGCCGAAAGGCUACUUCAAACCAUCGCGAACUCGUCCAAGUUGCUUCGGCGGCGCGGCACCCCUUAACGGGGGCGCCGCAGCCCUGCCUCUCCGGAGGUUCGGGGCGCCCGCCGGAGGUACGAAACUCUGUAUUAUAGUGGCAUCUCUGAGUAUAAAACAAAUAAGUUAAAACUUUCAACAACGGAUCUCUUGGUUCUGGCAUCGAUGAAGAACGCAGCGAAAUGCGAUAAGUAAUGUGAAUUGCAGAAUUCAGUGAAUCAUCGAAUCUUUGAACGCACAUUGCGCCCGGUAGUACUCUACCGGGCAUGCCUGUUCGAGCGUCAUUUCAACCCUCAAGCCCUGCUUGGUGUUGGGGCCCUACGGCUGCCGUAGGCCCUGAAAGGAAGUGGCGGGCUCGCUACAACUCCGAGCGUAGUAAUUCAUUAUCUCGCUAGGGAGGUUGCGGCGUGCUCCUGCCGUUAAAGACCCAUCUUUAACCAAGGUUGACCUCGGAUCAGNAGGA